GUAAGUGAAAUUCAUGAAACUAAAAUUAAUUGGCGGCUUUUUAAAUAUUUUAGAGAAAUUUAUUCUGUAAAGGAUUUAACCCCAAAAUCUUACUUUUUUUUGUAUAAUAUACAAAAAUAUAUUACAUUUCAUAUACCUCUAUUUUUUGAUUAUUAAAUUAAUUAUAGCAUUUUCUAUGAUUGUUUAGAAGUAUUUUAGGGAAAGGUGUGGAUUAGAAAAAAGAUUGAAAUAAGUUUUAUUAAUUAGUAUUUAAUGAAAUUUAAAUUGAUAGAUUUAAAUUCAAUAAAAUUUAAAAGUAAAAUUAGGGAAAUAGGCUAAUUUGAAUAGAUUUUUAAAA
Molecule: ribosomal RNA, 337 nt
Filed under: Neoseiulus idaeus
Lineage: Eukaryota; Metazoa; Arthropoda; Arachnida; Mesostigmata; Phytoseiidae
Description: partial 12S ribosomal RNA
Source: RNAcentral